AGAUUGAACGCUGGCGGCAUGCCUUACACAUGCAAGUCGAACGGCAGCACGGGAGCAAUCCUGGUGGCGAGUGGCGAACGGGUGAGUAAUACAUCGGAACGUGCCCAAUCGGUGGGGGAUAACGCAGCGAAAGCUGUGCUAAUACCGCAUAAGAUCUACGGAUGAAAGCAGGGGAUCGCAAGACCUUGCGCGAAUGGAGCGGCCGAUGGCAGAUUAGGUAGUUGGUGAGGUAAAGGCUCACCAAGCCUUCGAUCUGUAGCUGGUCUGAGAGGACGACCAGCCACACUGGGACUGAGACACGGCCCAGACUCCUACGGGAGCAGCAGGUGGGAAUUUGGACAAGUGGGCGAA
Molecule: ribosomal RNA, 351 nt
Filed under: uncultured soil bacterium
Lineage: Bacteria
Description: bacterial SSU rRNA
Rfam family: Bacterial small subunit ribosomal RNA
Source: RNAcentral